Molecule: unclassified non-coding RNA, 288 nt
Filed under: Orbiliales sp.
Lineage: Eukaryota; Fungi; Ascomycota; Orbiliomycetes; Orbiliales
Description: partial contains 5.8S ribosomal RNA, internal transcribed spacer 2, and large subunit ribosomal RNA
Source: RNAcentral
CGCACAUUGCGCCUGCUGGUAUUCCGGUAGGCAUGCCUGUUCGAGCGUCAGCAAAACCUCUCAGCAGAAAUUUAUUUUUGUUGGUUAUGGGCCGCGGAGGAAUGGCUAUUGCAGCCGCUCCCGCCUUAAACUUGCUGCACGACCGCAAGCUUAUGCUAGGUUAAUGGAGUGGUGUUUACAUUAAAUUCCAGCAAUUCUUUCAUAGCUUGGUGGCGUUAAACCUGAUAGUUGCCUCACCGCAACCGAAGUUUUGACCUCGGAUCAGACAAGGAUACCCGCUGAACUUAA